GAGUUUCAUUUCGAGGGAGGGGGACACACCGACCGGGGAAAGGACACCAUCCGACAGCCACCGGCAAAGGCAUCCCACUGAACGUGGCGAAGCUGCCCUAGAGAGGAGAAAUUCAGGACGGGGUUUGGUUUUCUUUUAACCCAUCCCUCAAAAUUUGUAAUCAGUGGAGUAAGCGAACAAGCAAAGAAACUGGGCUUUCCUUUCAGAUUUAAUAGGAAGCGAAUCAUGCUGCACUCAGGGAUUGAAAAUCAGCUUUAAGGGUGUUUUUAAAAAUAAGUUUCUAGCCCUCAUGGAUGUCAGUUCUAUAAUAUGGAGUAGGAUAGGUGUAAGACACUCUAUGAGAAUAAUUCCGCUGGUUAGUAAGUUAACAGUUGUGACAGGUUGUUGUCAAAUGGGUGAGAAAUAGAAAGAGUGCGAGAUUGGGAGGGGGGAGGGAGAGACGAGAUGAGGACAAAAAGUCCUGUUGGAACAAUUUGGGCUGGUGCAGAGUCGGUGAGCAAGCCGUCAAGUCCCACAGGUAAUUCCGGUCUAUAUCGAAAGGAAGGUGUGUUCGCCUGGGCGUAUAGGACCAGUUCCCACACGCACCUUUGUGUGUGCCAACAGAUUGGUUCAAUGGCUGCCAAAAUAAAAGCAGAUAAAUCAUUUUGCGUUUGCAGAAUGAUGACACCUGCUCCUCCCCUCCCAGUUGCCUCCAUGGCAAAAGUCACUAAGACCUCCUUUGGAAGGAAGGAAUUUGAGGACUACAGCCUCAAACGCUACUUACCCUAGAACAGUUUCUUGUACGUCAGCCGGUUUCAGUGGAACUGCUUCAGGGUAAGUGCGUGUCAAAAGUCUCCCAGGGCACUUGCCUGAGAACAUUCCAUAGGACUGGAAUCCUGCGUUCUCGGAGCUGCUAAGUUUAUUUAAGCUGCCCUCCGAUGAUGACCUGAUGGUUUGCUCCAGAUUGACACCGAAGCCAGUGCAGGAUUAGUGUACAGGAGAUCACAGCUGCUUAAUCAUUAAUAGCUGAGCCCUAACCAUGUUGACACAGGAGUAAGCCCCACUGAUUUCUGCGUAGUGCUUCUAGGUAAGCACCCUUUGAAUGGCAACCUUAGGUUAAUUGGCUGGCCUGUCCGAAAAACAACAACUGUGGGGAAACCUUUUAAAAAUGUGUUUGUGUUGUAAGACGCUAAACUCCACUAAUGAUUGGGACAGAAUAUUUAGGAUGUAUGUUAGAACCAAAUAAAUGUUUUGCUGCUGGUUUCUCGUGCUAAAAACUUUAUAUUUUAUUCUUGUCUGUUUAUUUUCUAUCACAAUUGCAUAGUUUAAACAAUAACAAUACCUUGAGCAAAUGCAUGAACAUUGUAUGAAAGGUAACAACCUUAUGACAUGUCUUCUCCCUUGUUUUGGUCCUGUAUUUAAAAUACAGAUAUGUAAUGCUCUUGGCUGUAGCGAAUUCACACAUGUCCCAUUUUAAAAGUGAGUAACGAGAGAAUCCAAAUUCCCAAAGAAAACUUGCUUAUUUCAAUUUCCAUAAGGGGUAGUUGUGCGAGUCUUUUGCAGCAAGAAGCUACAAAGUAGGUAUUGCAGAAACUAACAAAUUUAUUACAGUACAAGUUGUUGUGGAUUACAGUCCAUUUCGUCAGAUUUAGAAAGUAUUAUCCUGCAUUGCAGGUACGUAUAUACAUGGUUGAGUGUUGGGUUGGGGAUGCCUUGUGAACAGCGAUGUCAAAAGCAAAUGCAAUACAGAAUAAUUCAGACGAUGGUAACUGUCUUACUAGCAGUGACCAUUCACAAAAAGACCCAGUAAUUAGUAACAUAGGCGGCCAUUGGUAAGCCAAUGAACACAUACCGUGUGAUAAAAAAUCCAUUAAAAAUCUUUUAGAUGCCACAAGAUUCUUUGUUGCUCUUCUUUAUUAUAGUGCAAUGCCCUGCCAAGUGGGAAGAGAAUAUUCCUCCCCUCCCUCUGUUCUUCCAGCUUUUUGAGCAGGUGGAAAGGUGUGUCGGUGGGGGGGGGGGGACAUUCUGCUCACCCCUUGGCAGAAGGCUAAACAUGGACAGACUGGCCAAAUAGCUUUGCACGGAACGCUGUAGUAAGUUUCCAGUUGAUGAAUGGUUGUCUGAAGUCACAGGCCUUAAAUCAAGGCUUGCACAACCUGUGGCCAACCGAGCCAAACACAAUCCACUAAACUAACUCCCCUCCCCUUUGCUGCUUAUAUUGCCUGCCUGGAGCUGAGGGGGGCUGCCAAUCACCUGUCAGGUCACUAUAUAUAUUGCAUUUGCUAUGGUGACUCACAAUCUGUGCAGUGCCCACUUGAAACGCAUGCCGAGAGUUUUCUAAACUUGCAGAACCAUCCAGGGCCUGCCAGAGCUUAAAUGUGCAGCACAAUCCUAUGGCUAUGUACUCAGAAGUGAAUCUUAUGUCUCCAGUGGGGUUUCUUCCUAGAUAAGAAUGCAAAGGUUUUCAGCCUUGGAGUGGUUUCAACAACCAUCCUGUCUCCCUAGGGAAUCUGGAAUUCUUUUUUGUGGGGAGUGAAUGAUUUUUAACUGGAGAGUCUCAGCACCCUCACCAAAUUACAAUUUCCAAAGUUCUUUGAGGGAUAGGUUUGUGUAAAUAAUGUGCUUUUACCUUAGGAAGUCAGCACAGAUGAUGUAAGAAACAAACGAGUUUUUUUACCUGCUGGCUGAAAUCUCCCCAAUAGGGGUGCAAUUCUGCCUAAUUUCCCUAGGAAUAAUUUCCACUGGAAACAAUGGGACUUAAUUCUCAGUAAAAAUGCAAAAGCUUGCACUAUAGAGCAUCUUCCAGAUAAUUAUGUACAAGGCUACCCCUUGCAAUUCAAUGCAGUCUGAUGAUAAAAUCUGGGGGAAGGCAGGGCUAAUGGAACUCUGUGCAGGAACAAAGCAGUAUAGGACUACAGCUGGGACCCUAUACUCCCUUAACUGGGAGAAAUCCUCACUGAAAUCGGUGGGAAUAGCUUCUGCUUUACUUAUUUAUUUUUGGGAGGGAAUCCACAUUGAAGUACAGGUUUUAAAAUGUCUUCAUGCAAAGUAUCGAUUUCUAGACAUGCUUUCACUAAAAGUACAGAAAUGGCGUCCCGACAUUUGGAGAAGUAUGAAAUUCAGUGAGUGGUUGCCUAUUUCACGAUGUGAUAAUUUUAUGUAACAAUUUUCUUGUACGCUGCCAUUUUUAAAUAAAUAAAUAAAUUCCAACACCC
Molecule: non-coding RNA, 3194 nt
Organism: Podarcis lilfordi (Lilford's wall lizard)
Lineage: Eukaryota; Metazoa; Chordata; Lepidosauria; Squamata; Lacertidae
Source: the annotation of a GenBank genome assembly